This is a long non-coding RNA of Drosophila sulfurigaster albostrigata, 235 nucleotides long. RefSeq lists it as uncharacterized. The transcript has 2 exons. The record is from RefSeq and is a predicted model, not a curated record. NCBI's taxonomy places the organism in Eukaryota, Metazoa, Arthropoda, Insecta, Diptera, Drosophilidae.
GGUUUGUGAUCGCUUAGGAUCUGGAAUUUUCUACCGAAUAGCUGAAUAGUUUGAUUCGUGUUCGUUUAAAGUUCGACUUGCAUAGCAAAUGGGUUUGUGUUCCUGUGAUAGAACGGCGCCUAUAGCGAAGUUGCUAGCAUCUGUAGUCAAUGAGAAUGGUUUCUCGAAAUUUGGAUAAACUAGUAUCGGAUCGGACGUUAUUAAAACUUUGAAUUUUUCAAAUGCUGACACAUAA